Long non-coding RNA from Oncorhynchus keta (chum salmon), 601 nucleotides. RefSeq lists it as uncharacterized. NCBI's taxonomy places the organism in Eukaryota, Metazoa, Chordata, Actinopteri, Salmoniformes, Salmonidae. The transcript is spliced from 3 exons. The record is from RefSeq and is a predicted model, not a curated record.
GUUUUGGUUGAGAAAUAUCCGGACAUGAUUUCAAGACGUGGAACUAAAGAAUAUACAUCGCCCCGUGAUCAUUUUGAUAGAUUAUUAACGUUUACUAAUACCUAAAGUUGCAUUACAAAAGUAUUUCGAAGUGUUUUGUGAAAGUUUAUCGUCAACUUUUUUUAUUUUUAAAAUUGACGUUGUGUUAUCAAACUCAGUUUUUUCCUUGAUUACACAGUCUUCAUAGAUCGAUAUCUAGGCUAUAUAUGGACCGAUUUAAUCGAAAAAAAGACCCAAAUAAAUGUUUAUGGGACAUCUAGGAAUGCCAAGAAAGAAGCUUGUCAAAGCAUCUGUAGUGGAGCAGUUAAGAGCUGGGAGUGUUCUUCUGAGUCAAUCACUAAAGGACAUCUGUUUGCUCUAGUCCAUGAUGCUGCACUUCACUGCCUUGGCCACCAAAGAACAUCAACGCCGAGCUGAGGUCUCGAAGGGUGUGGAGGUGUUGGCAGCGAGGCGUGUGUGUGUGCAGGCUGUCUCAGGGUAGACAGGGCCGCUGUCGUGGUGGGCGUGGUAGUGACCACCCUGCUCAUAACGCACCACCUGGAGUGGCUCACUCAGAUCCACC